Molecule: ribosomal RNA, 499 nt
Filed under: uncultured bacterium
Lineage: Bacteria
Description: partial 16S ribosomal RNA
Rfam family: Bacterial small subunit ribosomal RNA
Source: RNAcentral
GACGAACGCUGGCGGCGUACCUAAUACAUGCAAGUCGAGCGAAGUUUUUCUGGUGCUUGCACCGGAAAAACUUAGCGGCGAACGGGUGAGUAACACGUAAAGAACCUGCCUCAUAGACUGGGACAACUAUUGGAAACGAUAGCUAAUACCGGAUAACAGCAUUAACUGCAUGGUUGAUGUUUAAAAGUUGGUUUUGCUAACACUAUGAGAUGGCUUUGCGGUGCAUUAGCUAGUUGGUGGGGUAAAGGCCUACCAAGGCGACGAUGCAUAGCCGACCUGAGAGGGUGAUCGGCCACACUGGGACUGAGACACGGCCCAGACUCCUACGGGAGGCAGCAGUAGGGAAUCUUCCGCAAUGGGCGAAAGCCUGACGGAGCAACGCCGCGUGAGUGAAGAAGGAUUUCGGUUCGUAAAGCUCUGUUGUUAGGGAAGAAUGAUUGUGUAGUAACUAUACACAGUAGAGACGGUACCUAACCAGAAAGCCACGGCUAACUACGUG